Molecule: small RNA, 180 nt
Filed under: Pseudomonas benzenivorans
Lineage: Bacteria; Pseudomonadati; Pseudomonadota; Gammaproteobacteria; Pseudomonadales; Pseudomonadaceae
Description: Pseudomonas sRNA P1
Rfam family: Pseudomonas sRNA P1
About the family: There appears to be two related copies of P1 sRNA in the P.aeruginosa PA01 genome and both copies appear to be located upstream of predicted glutamine synthetase genes. This sRNA appears to be conserved amongst several Pseudomonas species.
Source: Rfam by way of RNAcentral
ACACCCGUUUUAUUGCUGUUAUGGGUUUCAGCCGAGCUUAGCCUUGUUCAUUUUUUUACACAAUAGCCAUGUAAAAAAUUGAACACAGCCCACUGAGCACCGCGGCGGGCCUGAGCGAAACGCGCACCGCAAUGCCCUGAAACGCCCUAAAAUUGGCCACGAGGCCUCUUUUUAGGGCAG